Molecule: ribosomal RNA, 376 nt
Filed under: uncultured bacterium
Lineage: Bacteria
Description: bacterial SSU rRNA
Rfam family: Bacterial small subunit ribosomal RNA
Source: RNAcentral
AUACGUAGGUGGCAAGCGUUGUCCGGAAUUAUUGGGCGUAAAGGGCGUGUAGGCGGGAUAAUAAGUCUGUUGUAAAAGUGCGGGGCUCAACCCCGUAAGGUCAAUGGAAACUGUUAUUCUUGAGUGCAGGAGAGGAAAGUGGAAUUCCCAGUGUAGCGGUGAAAUGCGUAGAUAUUGGGAGGAACACCAGUGGCGAAGGCGACUUUCUGGACUGUGUCUGACGCUGAGGCGCGAAAGCCAGGGGAGCGAACGGGAUUAGAUACCCCGGUAGUCCUGGCCGUAAACGAUGGGUACUAGGUGUAGGAGGUAUCGACCCCUUCUGUGCCGGAGUUAACGCAAUAAGUACCCCGCCUGGGGAGUACGGCCGCAAGGUUGA